This 564-nucleotide ribosomal RNA is filed under the name Aureobasidium pullulans. RNAcentral describes it as "partial large subunit ribosomal RNA". It matches the Rfam family "Eukaryotic large subunit ribosomal RNA", at positions 76 to 657 of the family's 3401-position model. Lineage: Eukaryota; Fungi; Ascomycota; Dothideomycetes; Dothideales; Saccotheciaceae. The record is from RNAcentral.
UGCCUAGUACGGCGAGUGAAGCGGCAACAGCUCAAAUUUGAAAGCUAGCCUUCGGGUUCGCAUUGUAAUUUGUAGAGGAUGAUUUGGGGAAGCCGCCUGUCUAAGUUCCUUGGAACAGGACGUCAUAGAGGGUGAGAAUCCCGUAUGUGACAGGAAAUGGCACCCUAUGUAAAUCUCCUUCGACGAGUCGAGUUGUUUGGGAAUGCAGCUCUAAAUGGGAGGUAAAUUUCUUCUAAAGCUAAAUAUUGGCGAGAGACCGAUAGCGCACAAGUAGAGUGAUCGAAAGAUGAAAAGCACUUUGGAAAGAGAGUUAAAAAGCACGUGAAAUUGUUGAAAGGGAAGCGCUUGCAAUCAGACUUGUUUAAACUGUUCGGCCGGUCUUCUGACCGGUUUACUCAGUUUGGACAGGCCAGCAUCAGUUUCGGCGGCCGGAUAAAGGCUCUGGGAAUGUGGCCUCCACUUCGGUGGAGGUGUUAUAGCCCAGGGUGUAAUACGGCCAGCCGGGACUGAGGUCCGCGCUUCGGCUAGGAUGCUGGCGUAAUGGUUGUAAGCGACCCGUCUUAA